Molecule: ribosomal RNA, 262 nt
Filed under: uncultured bacterium
Lineage: Bacteria
Description: partial 16S ribosomal RNA
Rfam family: Bacterial small subunit ribosomal RNA
Source: RNAcentral
UUGGCGGACGGGUGGAGUAACGACGUGGGGAACCGUGCCCUGUACAGGGGGAUAACACUUAGAAAUAGGUGCUAAUACCGCAUAAGCGCACAGUAUCGCAUGAUACAGUGUGAAAAACUCCGGUGGUACAGGAUGGACCCGCGUCUGAUUAGCUGGUUGGCGGGGUAACGGCCCACCAAGGCGACGAUCAGUAGCCGGCCUGAGAGGGUGAACGGCCACAUUGGGACUGAGACGCGGCCCAAACUCCUACGGGAGGCAGCAG